GAUGAACGCUAGCUACAGGCUUAACACAUGCAAGUCGAGGGGAAACGACAUCGAAAGCUUGCUUUUGAUGGGCGUCGACCGGCGCACGGGUGAGUAACGCGUAUCCAACCUGCCCAUCACUUGGGAAUAACCUUGCGAAAGUAAGACUAAUACCCAAUGAUAUCCCACGAAGGCAUCGGAAUGGGAUUAAAGAUUUAUCGGUGAUGGAUGGGGAUGCGUCUGAUUAGCUUGUUGGCGGGGUAACGGCCCACCAAGGCAACGAUCAGUAGGGGUUCUGAGAGGAAGGUCCCCCACAUUGGAACUGUGACACGGUCCAAACUCCUACGGGAGGCAGCAGUGAGGAAUAUUGGUCAAUGGGCGAGAGCCUGAACCAGCCAAGUAGCGUGCAGGAAGACGGCCCUAUGGGUUGUAAACUGCUUUUAGAAGGGAAUAAAGUGGGUCACGUGUGACUUUUUGCAUGUACCUUAUGAAUAAGGACCGGCUAAUUCCGUG
Molecule: ribosomal RNA, 492 nt
Filed under: uncultured bacterium
Lineage: Bacteria
Description: partial 16S ribosomal RNA
Rfam family: Bacterial small subunit ribosomal RNA
Source: RNAcentral